GCCAAUGAUCUUGGUGUCGGUUUCCUUCGGGAAUGAAAAGGGAAUCCGUUCCAGCUUAGGUUGGGAAACGGAACUGCCCCCGCAACUGUAAGCGGCGAGCGCUUCUCAACAUGCCACUGGGAAUACCCGGGAAGGCGAGAUGUGCGAUGACCCGCCAGUCAGGAGACCUGCCGACGCGAGCGAAACCAC
This 189-nucleotide non-coding RNA is filed under the name Sedimentitalea nanhaiensis. The record is from RNAcentral. Lineage: Bacteria; Pseudomonadati; Pseudomonadota; Alphaproteobacteria; Rhodobacterales; Paracoccaceae.